GACGAACGCUGGCGGCGUGCCUAAUACAUGCAAGUCGAACGCAGUGGGGACGGGUGAGUAACACGUGGGUAACCUCCCCAUCAGAGGGGAUAACCCUUGGACACAGGUGCUAAACCGAUACUGAUGGAUGGACCCGCGGUUCAUUAGCUAGUUGGGGAGGUACCGGCUCACCAAGGCCACGAUGCAUAGCCGACCUGAGAGGGCGAUCGGCCAUACUGGGACUGCGAGACGGCCCAGACUCCUACGGGAGGAAGCAGGAGGGAAGCUUCGGCAAUGGACGAAAGGCUGACCGAGCAGUGCCGCGUGAGUGAAGAAGGUUUUCGGAUCGUAAAACUCUGUUGUUAGAGAAGCGGUAUCUAACCAGAAAGCCACGGCUAACUACGUGCCAGCAGCCGCGGUAAUAC
RNAcentral lists this ribosomal RNA (404 nucleotides) under uncultured bacterium. Its description in RNAcentral is "partial 16S ribosomal RNA". It matches the Rfam family "Bacterial small subunit ribosomal RNA", at positions 28 to 526 of the family's 1533-position model. The record is from RNAcentral.